RNAcentral lists this long non-coding RNA (222 nucleotides) under Elaeis guineensis (African oil palm). Its description in RNAcentral is "long non-coding RNA (EGUI_LNC032763)". The record is from RNAcentral. Lineage: Eukaryota; Viridiplantae; Streptophyta; Magnoliopsida; Arecales; Arecaceae.
CCGAGCUUCCUCAACAAAUGAUCCCUAUCUGAACUUCUACGGGAACCAGACUCCGACCGAACUUCUGUAGCGGACAGAUUCCGGACGAACUCCUACGACACACGGGCUCUAGCAGCCAGACCCCUCCAGCGGGUGAACCUCUCCAGCGACAUCCGACAUCCACUGCCGGUCGACCUUCUGCCGAAUUCUGCAUGGAACCGAACUUCGUCCACAGAAAGCCCC